UUCCAAAGUGUUGAGUUCAGUUCAGGGCAGCUUCCCUGUUCUGUUAAUUAAACUUUGGGACAUUGAAACACAGGCUGGCCGGGGGGGGUGACUGGAUGGAAAGCAUUACUCUAUUCCUUUACCUCCUAGCCUACAGAU
Molecule: small nucleolar RNA, 138 nt
Organism: Balaenoptera musculus (blue whale)
Lineage: Eukaryota; Metazoa; Chordata; Mammalia; Artiodactyla; Balaenopteridae
Source: Ensembl